UCCAGGCAUGGAGAGGGCGCAGUUCCGCGCUAUCCUCCGUAUCGUUGACACGUCCGAGUAGAAAGAGUGCCACGCUGCCGACUUACCUCGAGUUUCCAUAACUUUUUUUCUUAUUCUUAUUAUUCUUAUUAUACUUAUUAUACUUAUUCAACGCGUUAUAAUAUUACAUCUCAUUAAUUAUUUUUCCCUAAUCUUAAUUAAUCUCUUAUAUAUAACUUUGAUACGAUUUAAUCAUCCAUUUUGGAUUAUAAAUCGUACCGAUCUUAAAUCUGUCGAUCAAUGAACACGCGCAUUUUUUCGAACGACUUACCAACGUUUAGAAAGUAAAUAAUCAAAGUGAGAUAGAUAGAGAGUAAGGGAGAGAUAAAGGGACGCGGAUCUACUGUUCCUCAUACUCUGUUUGUGUUUAAAGAGAAAUAAAUAAAUAAAUAAUUAAAGAGAUAGAUAGAUUGAUAGAAAGAAAGAAAGAAAGAAAGAAAGUGUUUCUCUUAAAAAGAUAGUGACUUUGACGCUUGGACUAUCGCCAUUUUUCACAAGACGUGUGUGAGAAGAUACAAGACAACGAUGAUGGCCGUUUCCUCUUCUUCUUCUUAUUCUUCUUCUUCUUCCUCCUCCUCCUUUUUCUUCUUGUUCGCUGUCUUGGUCGUUGCGCUCGUGUUCAGCGAUGGGACCAUGGGUACCACGGCAAACCAGAUGACGUUGGAAGCCAGGAUCUACGACGACCCCGAACUAUCACAGGU
Long non-coding RNA from Polistes canadensis, 740 nucleotides. RefSeq lists it as uncharacterized. The record is from RefSeq and is a predicted model, not a curated record. The transcript has 2 exons. NCBI's taxonomy places the organism in Eukaryota, Metazoa, Arthropoda, Insecta, Hymenoptera, Vespidae.